UCCGUAAGGAUAUGGUAGGGGAGCGUUCUGUAGGUCUGCGAAGGUGAGGGGUAACCCUUGCUGGAGGUAUCAGAAGUGCGAAUGCUGACAUGAGUAGCGAUAAACAGGGUGAAAAGCACCCUCGCCGAAAGCCCAAGGUUUCCUGCGCAACGUUCAUCGGCGCAGGGUGAGUCGGCCCCUAAGGCGAGGCCGAAAGGCGUAGUCGAUGGGAAACGGGUCAAUAUUCCCGUACCGAUCACAGAUGCGAUGGGGGGACGGAGAAGGUUAGCUCAGCCGGGUGUUGGAUGUCCUGGUUUAAGCGUGUAGGCGUGCUGCCUAGGAAAAUCCGGGUGGCUUAGCUGAGGCGUGAUGACGAGGACCUUCGGGUCUGAAGUGAGUGAUACCCUGCUUCCAGGAAAAGCCUCUAAGCUUCAGUCUGUGAUUGACCGUACCGCAAACCGACACAGGUGGGCAGGAUGAAAAUUCUAAGGCGCUUGAGAGAACUCAGGAGAAGGAACUCGGCAAAUUGAUACCGUAACUUCGGGAGAAGGUAUGCCUCGGUAGCGUGUAGCGGCUUGCCCGCGAAGCGUGAUGAGGUCGCAGAGAAUCGGUGGCUGCAACUGUUUAAUAAAAACACAGCACUCUGCAAAGGCGAAAGCCGACGUAUAGGGUGUGACGCCUGCCCGGUGCCGGAAGGUUAAGUGAUGGGGUGCAAGCUCUUGAUCGAAGCCCCGGUAAACGGCGGCCGUAACUAUAACGGUCCUAAGGUAGCGAAAUUCCUUGUCGGGUAAGUUCCGACCUGCACGAAUGGCGUAACGAUGGCCACACUGUCUCCUCCUGAGACUCAGCGAAGUUGAAAUGUUUGUGAUGAUGCAAUCUACCCGCGGCUAGACGGAAAGACCCCAUGAACCUUUACUGUAGCUUUGCAUUGGACUUUGACGGGACUUGUGUAGGAUAGGUGGGAGGCUGUGAGGCGUGGUCGCCAGAUCGCGCGGAGCCAACCUUGAAAUACCACCCUGGUGUCGUUGAGGUUCUAACCUUGGUCCGUGAAUCCGGAUCGGGGACCGUGCAUGGCAGGCAGUUUGACUGGGGCGGUCUCCUCCCAAAGAGUAACGGAGGAGUACGAAGGUCGUCUAAGCACGGUCGGACAUCGUGCUCAUAGUGCAAUGGCAAAAGAAGGCUUGACUGCGAGACUGACAAGUCGAGCAGAUGCGAAAGCAGGACAUAGUGAUCCGGUGGUUCUGUAUGGAAGGGCCAUCGCUCAACGGAUAAAAGGUACUCUGGGGAUAACAGGCUGAU
This is a ribosomal RNA of 1278 nucleotides. It matches the Rfam family "Bacterial large subunit ribosomal RNA", at positions 1209 to 2486 of the family's 2925-position model.